UGGAAGUAAAAGUCGUAACAAGGUCUCCGUUGGUGAACCAGCGGAGGGAUCAUUACCGAGUUUACAACUCCCAAACCCAAUGUGAACGUUACCAAACUGUUGCCUCGGCGGGAUCUCUGCCCCGGGUGCGUCGCAGCCCCGGACCAAGGCGCCCGCCGGAGGACCAACCAAAACUCUUAUUGUAUACCCCCUCGCGGGUUUUUUUAUAAUCUGAGCCUUCUCGGCGCCUCUCGUAGGCGUUUCGAAAAUGAAUCAAAACUUUCAACAACGGAUCUCUUGGUUCUGGCAUCGAUGAAGAACGCAGCGAAAUGCGAUAAGUAAUGUGAAUUGCAGAAUUCAGUGAAUCAUCGAAUCUUUGAACGCACAUUGCGCCCGCCAGUAUUCUGGCGGGCAUGCCUGUCCGAGCGUCAUUUCAACCCUCGAACCCCUCCGGGGGGUCGGCGUUGGGGAUCGGCCCUCCCUUAGCGGGUGGCCGUCUCCGAAAUACAGUGGCGGUCUCGCCGCAGCCUCUCCUGCGCAGUAGUUUGCACACUCGCAUCGGGAGCGCGGCGCGUCCACAGCCGUUAAACACCCAACUUUCUGAAAUGUUGACCUCGGAUCAGGUAGGAAUACCCGCUGAACUUAAGCAUAUCAAUAAGCGGAGG
Molecule: ribosomal RNA, 644 nt
Filed under: Trichoderma lixii
Lineage: Eukaryota; Fungi; Ascomycota; Sordariomycetes; Hypocreales; Hypocreaceae
Description: eukaryotic LSU rRNA
Rfam family: 5.8S ribosomal RNA (bases 257-410)
Source: RNAcentral